GAUGAACGCUGGCGGCGUGCCUAAUACAUGCGAGUCGAGCGAACAGACGAGGAGCUUGCUCCUCUGACGUUAGCGGCGGACGGGUGAGUAACACGUGGAUAACCUACCUAUAAGACUGGGAUAACUUCGGGAAACCGGAGCUAAUACCGGAUAAUAUAUUGAACCGCAUGGUUCAAUAGUGAAAGACGGUUUUGCUGUCACUUAUAGAUGGAUCCGCGCCGCAUUAGCUAGUUGGUAAGGUAACGGCUUACCAAGGCGACGAUGCGUAGCCGACCUGAGAGGGUGAUCGGCCACACUGGAACUGAGACACGGUCCAGACUACUACGGGAGGCAGCAGUAGGGAAUCUUCCGCAAUGGGCGAAAGCUUGACGGAGCAACGCCGCGGGAGUGAUGAAGGUCUUCGGAUCGUAAAACUCUGUUAUUAGGGAAGAACAAAUGUGUAAGUAACUAUGCACGUCUUGACGGUACCUAAUCAGAAAGCCACGGCUAACUACGU
This 496-nucleotide ribosomal RNA is filed under the name uncultured bacterium. Its description in RNAcentral is "partial 16S ribosomal RNA". It matches the Rfam family "Bacterial small subunit ribosomal RNA", at positions 28 to 506 of the family's 1533-position model. The record is from RNAcentral.